This 429-nucleotide ribosomal RNA is filed under the name Chloroflexota bacterium. Its description in RNAcentral is "Chloroflexi bacterium partial 16S ribosomal RNA". It matches the Rfam family "Bacterial small subunit ribosomal RNA", at positions 355 to 776 of the family's 1533-position model. Lineage: Bacteria; Bacillati; Chloroflexota. The record is from RNAcentral.
UAGGGAAUCUUCGGCAAUGGACGAAAGUCUGACCGAGCAACGCCGCGUGAGUGAAGAAGGUUUUCGGAUCGUAAAACUCUGUUGUUAGAGAAGAACAAGGACGUUAGUAACUGAACGUCCCCUGACGGUAUCUAACCAGAAAGCCACGUCUAACUACGUGCCAGCAGCCGCGGUAAUACGUAGGUGGCAAGCGUUGUCCGGAUUUAUUGGGCGUAAAGCGAGCGCAGGCGGUUUCUUAAGUCUGAUGUGAAAGCCCCCGGCUCAACCGGUGGGGGUCAUUGGAAACUGGGGGACUUGAGUGCGGAAGAAGAGAGUGGAAUUCAAUGUGUAGCGGUGAAAUGCGUAGAUAUAUGGAGGGACGCCAGUGGCGAAGGCGGCUCUCUGGUCUGUAACUGACGCUGAGGCUCGAAAGCGUGGGGAGCAAACAGG